This 253-nucleotide ribosomal RNA is filed under the name uncultured bacterium. RNAcentral describes it as "partial 16S ribosomal RNA". It matches the Rfam family "Bacterial small subunit ribosomal RNA", at positions 524 to 776 of the family's 1533-position model. The record is from RNAcentral.
UACGGGGGGGGCAAGCGUUGUUCGGAAUUACUGGGCGUAAAGGGCUUGUAGGUGGCCAACUAAGUCAGACGUGAAAUCCCUCGGCUUAACCGGGGAACUGCGUCUGAUACUGGAUGGCUGGAGUGUGGGAGAGGGAUGCGGAAUUCCAGGUGUAGCGGUGAAAUGCGUAGAUAUCUGGAGGAACACCGGUGGCGAAGGCGGCAUCCUGGACCGGCAUUGACGCUGAGGAGCGAAAGCCAGGGGAGCAAACGGG